AAUGGGCGAAAGCCUGAUCCAGCAAUGCAGCGUGUGUGAAGAAGGCCUGAGGGUUGUAAAGCACUUUCAGUAGGGAAGAUAAUGACGGUACCUACAGAAGAAGCACCGGCUAACUCCGUGCCAGCAGCCGCGGUAAUACGGAGGGUGCAAGCGUUAAUCGGAAUUACUGGGCGUAAAGCGUACGUAGGAUGUGAUGCAAGUCGGAUGUGAAAUCCCCGGGCUUAACCUGGGAACUGCAUUCGAAACUACAUUACUAGAGCGUAGUAGAGGUAAGCGGAAUUUCGGGUGUAGCGGUGAAAUGCGUAGAUAUCCGAAAGAACAUCAGUGGCGAAGGCGGCUUACUGGAUUAACACUGACUCUGAGGUACGAAAGCGUGGGGAGCAAACAGGAUU
This 392-nucleotide ribosomal RNA is filed under the name uncultured Gammaproteobacteria bacterium. RNAcentral's name for it is "bacterial SSU rRNA". It matches the Rfam family "Bacterial small subunit ribosomal RNA", at positions 370 to 779 of the family's 1533-position model. Lineage: Bacteria; Pseudomonadati; Pseudomonadota; Gammaproteobacteria. The record is from RNAcentral.